Molecule: long non-coding RNA, 175 nt
Organism: Hibiscus syriacus
Lineage: Eukaryota; Viridiplantae; Streptophyta; Magnoliopsida; Malvales; Malvaceae
Exons: 3
Source: RefSeq, a predicted model, not a curated record
UAAAUUAAAAGGUGGAUUAUCAGUUAUUUCUUUCAUCGCCCCAAACAAGCUAAUAUUAGCGCUAAUGGUACGUAAAUGUAACUCGUUGUUUAAAGAACUAUCCAGAGUUCCUAGAGCUCCUUGUAAAGCUUGUUGUAAAACCCGUUGUCGGACUUGAUUAAUCGCUCUUUGUUGU